UACGGAGGGUGCAAGCGUUAUCCGGAUUCACUGGGUUUAAAGGGUGCGUAGGUGGAUUAGUAAGUCAGUGGUGAAAUCUCUGGGCUUAACUCAGAAACUGCCAUUGAUACUAUUUGUCUUGAAUACUGUGGAGGUCAGCGGAAUAUGUCAUGUAGCGGUGAAAUGCUUAGAUAUGACAUAGAACACCAAUUGCGAAGGCAGCUGGCUACACAAAUAUUGACACUGAGGCACGAAAGCGUGGGGAUCAAACAGG
This 253-nucleotide ribosomal RNA is filed under the name uncultured bacterium. RNAcentral describes it as "partial 16S ribosomal RNA". It matches the Rfam family "Bacterial small subunit ribosomal RNA", at positions 524 to 776 of the family's 1533-position model. The record is from RNAcentral.